RNAcentral lists this ribosomal RNA (240 nucleotides) under uncultured bacterium. Its description in RNAcentral is "partial 16S ribosomal RNA". It matches the Rfam family "Bacterial small subunit ribosomal RNA", at positions 15 to 244 of the family's 1533-position model. The record is from RNAcentral.
GACCCUGGCUCAGGAUGAACGCUAGCUACAGGCUUAACACAUGCAAGUCGAGGGGAAACGACAUCGAAAGCUUGCUUUUGAUGGGCGUCGACCGGCGCACUGGUGAGUAACGCGUAUCCAACCUGCCCACCACUUGGGGAUAACCUUGCGAAAGUAAGACUAAUACCCAAUGAUAUCUCUAGAAGACAUCUGAAAGGGAUUAAAGAUUUAUCGGUGAUGGAUGGGGAUGCGUCUGAUUAG